GUCCAGACUCCUACGGGAGGCAGCAGUGGGGGAUAUUGCACAAUGGGGGAAACCCUGAUGCAGCGACGCCGCGUGGGCGAAGAAGUAUUUCGGUAUGUAAAGCCCUAUCAGCAGGGAAGAAGAAAUGACGGUACCUGAGUAAGAAGCACCGGCUAAAUACGUGCCAGCAGCCGCGGUAAUACGUAUGGUGCAAGCGUUAUCCGGAUUUACUGGGUGUAAAGGGAGCGCAGGCGGCACGGCAAGCCUGAUGUGAAAGCCCGCGGCCCAACCGCGGGACUGCAUUGGGAACUGGCGCGCUGGAGUGCCGGAGGGGUAGGCGGAAUUCCUAGUGUAGCGGUGAAAUGCGUAGAUAUUAGGAGGAACACCAGUGGCGAAGGCGGCCUACUGGACGGUGACUGGCGCUGAGGCUCGAAAGCGUGGGGAGCAAACAGGACUAGAUACCCCGGUAA
This 449-nucleotide ribosomal RNA is filed under the name uncultured bacterium. RNAcentral describes it as "bacterial SSU rRNA". It matches the Rfam family "Bacterial small subunit ribosomal RNA", at positions 329 to 793 of the family's 1533-position model. The record is from RNAcentral.